ACCUCCUCAAUGCACUSAGUGUGAAGGGGUUACCUCGAGUGCCGUCUGAAGAAGGSGGCUUUUCCUUGGUCUAAAAAGCCUYGGGAAUAAGAGGGGGGCAASACUGGUGUCAGCCGCCGCGGUAACACCAGCCCCUCGAGUGGUGGGGAUGAUUAUUUGGCCUAAAGCGUCCGUAGCCGGCCGAGUAAGUUUCCCGUUAAAUCCAGCGUCUCAAGCGUUGGGCUGCGGGAAAUACUGCCCGGCUAGAGAGUGGGAGAGGUAAGCGGUAUUCUGGGGGUAGGGGCGAAAUCCUUUGAUCCCCGGAGGACCACCAGUGGCGAAGGCUGCUUACUAGAACACGUCUGWCGGUCAGGGACGAAAGCUGGGGUAGCGAACCGGAUUAGAUACCCGGGUAGUCCCAGCUGUAAACGAUGCACGCUAGGUGUUGGGUCGGCCACGCGCCGCCCCAGUGCCGCAGGGAAGCCGUUAAGCGUGCCGCCUGGGGAGUACGGCCGCAAGGCUGAAACUUAA
This 510-nucleotide ribosomal RNA is filed under the name uncultured crenarchaeote. RNAcentral's name for it is "bacterial SSU rRNA". It matches the Rfam family "Archaeal small subunit ribosomal RNA", at positions 346 to 859 of the family's 1478-position model. The record is from RNAcentral. Lineage: Archaea; Thermoproteati; Thermoproteota.